Long non-coding RNA from Trichoplusia ni (cabbage looper), 631 nucleotides. RefSeq lists it as uncharacterized. The transcript is spliced from 2 exons. NCBI's taxonomy places the organism in Eukaryota, Metazoa, Arthropoda, Insecta, Lepidoptera, Noctuidae. The record is from RefSeq and is a predicted model, not a curated record.
UUAUCAGGCGGAUUUUAUGUGAUACGGAUAGAAGGUGAUUAAUACAAUGUGUCAGGAAAAAAUACCCGAACAAUAAAGGAUUAUUAUUGAACACGAGUACUUCUAAGAAAUGUCUCCGCCGCUGCCACCACACCAUACCCCUCAUCACGGUCCGGCUCAUCACGGACCACAUCAUCAUGGACCACAUCACCAUGGACUGCCUCACCAUGGACCGCAUCAUCACGGACUGCCACAUCACGGACCACCUCACCAUGGACCGCUUCACCAUGCAGCGCCUCAUCACGGACCACCACAUCAUGGACUGCCUCAUCAUGGACCGUAUCAUCACGGAACGCAUCAUCAUGGACCGCAUCAUCACGGACCGCAUCAUCACUAAUAUGAUCCAGUAAAUUACGUAUUAUAACUACUCUAAUCUUCACAACUUUAUCCAGCCUAGGAUUAUUUUUUCUUUUAAUUACGCAGAUUAUUCGCGAAUGUAUCUCAGUGAAUCAAGAUCCCAGGAAUAAAGAUAAAAAUGUUAAUUUUGCUUUUAAAUUGAACUCGCUACAGUUACGGUAGCUCGGGAAUCUAAUUAAAUACCCUUAAAGAUAUAACUAUUAUCUGUUCAUUAAAUAAAUGUUCUAACUUGAAA